UAGAAAUGAGAGGACAUGUUUGAGG
This 25-nucleotide non-coding RNA is filed under the name Rattus norvegicus (Norway rat). The record is from RNAcentral. Lineage: Eukaryota; Metazoa; Chordata; Mammalia; Rodentia; Muridae.